CAGCCGCCGCGGUAAUACGAAGGGUGCAAGCGUUACUCGGAAUUACUGGGCGUAAAGCGUGCGUAGGUGGUGGUUUAAGUCCGUUGUGAAAGCCCUGGGCUCAACCUGGGAAUUGCAGUGAAUACUGGAUCACUAGAGUGUGGUAGAGGAUAGUGGAAUUUCCGGUGUAGCAGUGAAAUGCGUAGAGAUCGGAAGGAACAUCUGUGGCGAAGGCGACUAUCUGGGCCAACACUGACACUGAGGCACGAAAGCGUGGGGAGCAAACAGGAUUAGAUACCCCCGUAGUCCCUGUCUCUUAUAC
RNAcentral lists this ribosomal RNA (301 nucleotides) under uncultured bacterium. RNAcentral's name for it is "partial 16S ribosomal RNA". It matches the Rfam family "Bacterial small subunit ribosomal RNA", at positions 509 to 807 of the family's 1533-position model. The record is from RNAcentral.